This 1155-nucleotide ribosomal RNA is filed under the name Citricoccus sp. Its description in RNAcentral is "bacterial SSU rRNA". It matches the Rfam family "Bacterial small subunit ribosomal RNA", at positions 147 to 1314 of the family's 1533-position model. The record is from RNAcentral. Lineage: Bacteria; Bacillati; Actinomycetota; Actinomycetes; Micrococcales; Micrococcaceae.
GCCUGGGAAACCGGGUCUAAUACCGGAUGCGACCCCUGACCGCAUGGUGGGGGGUGGAAAGAUUUAUCGGUCUUGGAUGGACUCGCGGCCUAUCAGCUGGUUGGUGGGGUAAUGGCCUACCAAGGCGACGACGGGUAGCCGGCCUGAGAGGGUGACCGGCCACACUGGGACUGAGACACGGCCCAGACUCCUACGGGAGGCAGCAGUGGGGAAUAUUGCACAAUGGGCGCAAGCCUGAUGCAGCGACGCCGCGUGAGGGAUGACGGCCUUCGGGUUGUAAACCUCUUUCAGUAGGGAAGAAGCGCAAGUGACGGUACCUGCAGAAGAAGCGCCGGCUAACUACGUGCCAGCAGCCGCGGUAAUACGUAGGGCGCGAGCGUUAUCCGGAAUUAUUGGGCGUAAAGAGCUCGUAGGCGGUUUGUCGCGUCUGCCGUGAAAGUCCGGGGCUUAACCCCGGAUCUGCGGUGGGUACGGGCAGACUGGAGUGCAGUAGGGGAGACUGGAAUUCCUGGUGUAGCGGUGAAAUGCGCAGAUAUCAGGAGGAACACCGAUGGCGAAGGCAGGUCUCUGGGCUGUUACUGACGCUGAGGAGCGAAAGCAUGGGGAGCGAACAGGAUUAGAUACCCUGGUAGUCCAUGCCGUAAACGUUGGGCACUAGGUGUGGGGGCCAUUCCACGGUUUCCGCGCCGCAGCUAACGCAUUAAGUGCCCCGCCUGGGGAGUACGGCCGCAAGGCUAAAACUCAAAGGAAUUGACGGGGGCCCGCACAAGCGGCGGAGCAUGCGGAUUAAUUCGAUGCAACGCGAAGAACCUUACCAAGGCUUGACAUGUUCCCGAUCGCCGCAGAGAUGUGGUUUCCCCUUUGGGGCGGGUUCACAGGUGGUGCAUGGUUGUCGUCAGCUCGUGUCGUGAGAUGUUGGGUUAAGUCCCGCAACGAGCGCAACCCUCGUUCCAUGUUGCCAGCGGGUUAUGCCGGGGACUCAUGGGAGACUGCCGGGGUCAACUCGGAGGAAGGUGGGGACGACGUCAAAUCAUCAUGCCCCUUAUGUCUUGGGCUUCACGCAUGCUACAAUGGCCGGUACAAUGGGUUGCGAUACUGUGAGGUGGAGCUAAUCCCAAAAAGCCGGUCUCAGUUCGGAUUGGGGUCUGCAACUCG